CCUACGGGAGGCAGCAGUAGGGAAUUUUGCGCAAUGGGCGAAAGCCUGACGCAGCAACGCCGCGUGAUUGAUUAAGCCCUUCGGGGUGUAAAGAUCUGUCAGUGGGGACGAAACUUGACGGUACCCACAGAGGAAGCACCGGCUAACUCCGUGCCAGCAGCCGCGGUAAUACGGAGGGUGCAAGCGUUUUCCGGAAUCAUGGGGCGUAAAGGGUUCGUAGGUGGCUUAUUAAGUCUGGUUUUAAAUGGAGAGGCUCAACUUCUGUUCGGCAUUGGAUACUGGUAAGCUUGAAUGCGGUAGAGGUAAGGGGAAGUCCUGGUGUAGCGGUGAAAUGCGUAGAUAUCAGGAGGAACAUCGGUUGCGUAGGCGGUUUACUGGGCUGUAAUUGACACUGAGGAACGAAAGCCUGGGUAGCAAACGGGAUUAGAUACCCCUGUAGUC
Molecule: ribosomal RNA, 441 nt
Filed under: uncultured bacterium
Lineage: Bacteria
Description: partial 16S ribosomal RNA
Rfam family: Bacterial small subunit ribosomal RNA
Source: RNAcentral